UGCAAGUCGAGCGGAUCAGUAUUUGUAGCAAUACAGGUACUGGUCAGCGGCGCAAGGGUGCGUAACACGUGGGCAACCUGCCCGGAAGUGGGGGACAGCUCGCCGAAAGGCGAAUUAAUACCGCAUGUGACGAGGGGUGGAGUCACCCUGUAGUCAAAGCCGGGGCAACCUGGCGCUUCUGGAUGGGCCCGCGGCCUAUCAGCUAGUUGGCGGGGUAACGGCCCACCAAGGCUAUGACGGGUAGCUGGUCUGAGAGGACGACCAGCCACACUGGAACUGAGACACGGUCCAGACACCUACGGGUGGCAGCAGUCGAGAAUUUUUCUCAAUGGGGGCAACCCUGAAGGAGCGACGCCGCGUGGAGGAUGAAGGUCUUCGGAUCGUAAACUCCUGUCAUUGGUGAACAAGGCCCACGCAGUAACUGGUGUUGGGAUUGAUAGUAGCCGAAGAGGAAGAGACGGCUAACUCUGUGCCAGCAGCCGCGGUAAUACAGAGGUCUCGAGCGUUGUUCGGAUUCAUUGGGCGUAAAGGGUGCGUAGGUGGCGAGGCAAGUCUGGUGUGAAAUCCCGGGGCUCAACCCCGGAACUGCACUGGAUACUGCCCUGCUUGAGUACUGGAGAGGAGAUUGGAAUUUACGGUGUAGCAGUGAAAUGCGUAGAUAUCGUAAGGAAGACCAGUGGCGAAGCGAUCUCUGGACAGUUACUGACACUGAGGCACGAAGGCCAGGGGAGCAAACGGGAUUAGAUACCCCGGUAGUCCUGGCAGUAAACGGUGCCGUUUGGUGGGAGGAAUCGACCCUUCCGUGCCGGAACUAACGCGUUAAACCGCCGCUGGGG
This 836-nucleotide ribosomal RNA is filed under the name uncultured Xiphinematobacteriaceae bacterium. Its description in RNAcentral is "bacterial SSU rRNA". It matches the Rfam family "Bacterial small subunit ribosomal RNA", at positions 56 to 877 of the family's 1533-position model. The record is from RNAcentral. Lineage: Bacteria; Pseudomonadati; Verrucomicrobiota; Spartobacteria.